RNAcentral lists this transfer RNA (82 nucleotides) under Ixodes scapularis (black-legged tick). It matches the Rfam family "tRNA". From Rfam's summary of the family: Transfer RNA (tRNA) molecules are approximately 80 nucleotides in length. Their secondary structure includes four short double-helical elements and three loops (D, anti-codon, and T loops). The record is from Rfam by way of RNAcentral. Lineage: Eukaryota; Metazoa; Arthropoda; Arachnida; Ixodida; Ixodidae.
GCAGUCGUGCCCGAGUAGUUAAGGUGAUGGACUAGAAAUCCAUUGGGGUCUUCCCGCACAGGUUCGAAUCCUGUCGACUGCG